CAUUCCUUUCUCUAUUUUCAUUCUGGCUGGAGACAUUAACAGCUCGAUCUGGAAUAAACCGCUCAGCAUUUCUGUCCCUGGUCUCGCUCCUUUCUGGAUUCCGUUCUCUGGUCUCCCCAACAGGAACAUUUGCAGAUUGGAUAGCAAUGGUUUGCUGUGCUUGAGUAGAUACAGAUGGUUUGUUGCUGAUUGAAGGUGGGGGACACACGAGACAGACCAACACAUUACAGGAACAUUUGCAGAUUGGUUAGCAAUGGUUUGCUGUGCUUGCGUAGAGACAGAUGGUUUGUUGCUGAUUGAAGGUGGAGGACACACGAGACAGACCAACACAUUCAAUGCUGCUUCAACAAUCU
This 353-nucleotide long non-coding RNA is filed under the name Nicotiana benthamiana. RNAcentral's name for it is "long non-coding RNA (NBEN_LNC018055)". Lineage: Eukaryota; Viridiplantae; Streptophyta; Magnoliopsida; Solanales; Solanaceae. The record is from RNAcentral.